RNAcentral lists this ribosomal RNA (253 nucleotides) under uncultured bacterium. Its description in RNAcentral is "partial 16S ribosomal RNA". It matches the Rfam family "Bacterial small subunit ribosomal RNA", at positions 524 to 776 of the family's 1533-position model. The record is from RNAcentral.
UACGUAGGGCGCAAGCGUUAAUCGGAAUUACUGGGCGUAAAGCGUGCGCAGGCGGUGAUGUAAGACAGUUGUGAAAUCCCCGGGCUCAACCUGGGAACUGCAUCUGUGACUGCAUCGCUGGAGUGCGGCAGAGGGGGAUGGAAUUCCGCGUGUAGCAGUGAAAUGCGUAGAUAUGCGGAGGAACACCGAUGGCGAAGGCAAUCCCCUGGGCCUGCACUGACGCUCAUGCACGAAAGCGUGGGGAGCAAACAGG